This is a long non-coding RNA of Cynara cardunculus var. scolymus (artichoke), 777 nucleotides long. RefSeq lists it as uncharacterized. The transcript has 3 exons. The record is from RefSeq and is a predicted model, not a curated record. Lineage: Eukaryota; Viridiplantae; Streptophyta; Magnoliopsida; Asterales; Asteraceae.
CUCUGUCUUCAGUCCUCAAGGAGGAAUAUAUGAAGCGCCAUUAUCCAACACCCUCUAAUGGCCCCAACACCGCCCAUGGAUCGCUAGUCGUGGUGGUGGUGGCAACAUGCUCGAUAAGUUCGUCAAUGUUCAUUUCAUUUCGGAGCCUAGUCGGGCUAUUGAUUGUUGAAGCUAGCCAUGGUGGGUGGCUCAGACCUCGAGUUGCCAACUAAAAAGAAGUUCUAUCUGGUUCGGCUACAACCAAUACUAGUGAAGACUCGAUUGGCUGUGGUGGGGUUAAACCGUCUGCCGCCCCCUUUCUCAUUUUUCUCCGGUAGGCCUCAUUCCAUCAACCUCCAUCUUCCCAAGAACUCAUCUCUGAAGGUGCAGGCCGUCAUUUCCCCCUCUUCUUCAAAGCCAUGAUCCAUGUCGUUCUUUAGCGAGUCAUGGUGUUUGGUUGGAAUAAGCUGCAAUCUUUUGUGCCUUUUAUUUGGUCAAAAGAGCAGAAGGAGGGAGAAAUGGGUGCUGUGUCGGAGGAGAGGCAAUGGUUUUACCAUUUUCAGUUUUGGAAGGAGAGGACCUGGUUUUGGUGUUGGGUGUGCAUACAGGAGAAAGGAAUAGUGACGAAAGGGGAGGUGGAUGCAGCGCCAGAGAAGGAAGCGUUCCGGCGAUAAAAGUAUAAAUGGUGACUAGAGUUAGGGUUAUAGUAGAAAAGGAAUUUGAUAAUUUGUAAUAUUGGUCAAUGUUCAUGGCAUUUCAUAAAGACGUAAGAGUACGUGGUCCAAUUUAUCUUCUUGU